GGGCCGCUCCUGCGGCAUAUGGAGGUUCCCAGGCUAGGGGUCUAAUCAGAGCUGUAGCCACCGCCCUAUGCCAGAGCCACAGCAACGCAGGAUCUGAGCCACGUCUGCAACCUACACCACAGCUCACGGCAACGCUGGAUCGUUAACCAACUGAGCAAGGGCAGGGGCUGAACCCGCAACCUCAUGGUUCCUAGUCAGAUUUGUUAACCACUGCGCCACGACGGGAACUCCUAUUAAGAUCUAUAAUUGUUCUCAUUGUACACUUCCAGCUAAACUCAUUUAUGAAAGUCCUAGCCCAGAAUUGCUUCCUUUUAUUUUGAUUAUGGAAACAAAGAGGAAGUUAUUAGAAGCCAAGAGUAGUGAGGAAGGUGGGAGAUAGGUUUGGGGUUUCAUUCAUGACCAGGAGCCAAGUGAUGACUAAAAUCCUUGUGUGGUUCAUUAAGUGACCAAGACAACUCUAACCAGGUUGAGAAAAAGUCGCCUGUGAUACAAUACACAAGUGGUAUGGGGGCAUUAGGUCAAGGACAAUGGGGUGUGGGUUACAUAACCUCUGGCAUUGUGGUGCAUCCACCCUCCCACAAGCAGCUAUUGAUAACUUGCACCAAUUAGGGUCAACAAGGGGAAAUUUGAGGAAAGGGGAGCUAUCCAUGAAGAAUAUAGUGACAUGGGAAAAAUAUUUAUCUGUCUGUCUGUCUGUCUGUCUGCCUAUCUAUCUAUCUAUCUAUCUAUCUAUAGAAAUAGAUAUAGAUUCUGGAAGUGGAUUCUUAUGUAAUGGACAAUCUUCAUUGUGAAUAAUUCACAUUGAGCUAAUUAUAGGCUUAUGAAGAUGCUACUGAUUCUCCUUCCAGAAACUCGUAGCAAUUCCUGGGUGGGUCUAAAUGAUGACAGUGGAGCUUCAGACUCUGGUAAGACUCUACACUCUGGUGUAGACACCAUAUUACACAAAUGGAUUUUGUCCUCAGAUUACAGUUAGAACUGACAUUUUAAAUUAUUGCAACAGGUAAUAAAUGAAUGAUACCUUGUGGAAAGGGGAAAAUGAUUUAAUUUAUAGGCAAGAGUUUGUUGUAUAUUUUUAAAGGCUGUGUUUUGGAGUUUUCUUGUGGCUCAACAAGUUACGGAUCCGGUGUUGUCACUGCUGUGGCUCUGGUUACAGUUAUGAUGCAGGUUCAAUUCCUGGCCUGGGAACUUCUGCAUGCCUCAGGUGUGGCCAAAAAAUAAAUUUAAAAAAGACUCUUUUAUCCUCAAAAGCAAUGCUUUUAUCAUAAAAUAUAUUUGUAUAUAGUAAAUGACAGUCUGUCUAGCUAUCUGAUAAAAUAUCCACCAGCUAACCACUUCAUGUUUUUAGCAAUUCAGGGGAGACUCGUAAGAUUAAGGACAAACAGAUGUAACAGUAAUAGCCAGUAAUAGUUUUAAACAACAAGCCUUCUUUUUUAUUUAUUUAAACAUUACACCAAUAAAGUUCCUUUUGAGUCAUGGACUUAAGCAUUUGCUCAUAUUAUUUUCUCAACCCGUCAUUUCAUGAGUUCAUUUUACUCCUCUUGCCUCUCAAACAGCUUUGCACAUACUUCCUAAAAUUGUAUUUCAUUAAUAUGAGCUGUAUUUUUAUAAGAUACAUUUUGUAUUCCAUCCUAUAAAAGCUGAAAAAGAUGUGCUUUAAAAGAAAAUCUUAUUUUAUUUAUUAAUUUAUUUUUGGGCCAUACGCAUGGCACGUGGAAGUUCCCAGGCCAAGGCGGAACCCAUACCACAGCAGCCACCUAAGCCACUGCAGUGACAAUACUGCUGGAUCCUUAACCCACUGCACCACAAAAGAACUUUUUUUUUUAAAGAAAAUCUUAUUUUAGAACUAAGGUAUGCAUUUUAAAACCACUGCACCUUAAUGGGAAAGCCCUCAAAAUCAGUUCACUUCUCUAAACUGUCAUUUCUUCACUUGGGAACAUAUAUUUGAGAUCUUUUUUGACAUGGUAUGCUGAUUUCAGAUUUAUUUCUCCUUAUAAUUGAAAUCUGAAUAUUUCUUUGAGGAAAUACCAUUUAAUUUUAGAGAAGUGUGACACCCUAAGGACUUAAUGUUGGGUGGCAUUUAAGUGACUUGAGGUGUGCUCACUUCCCAGCACCUUGGUCAGUAUUAGCACACAUUGCAGGGGACCAAAGCCACAGGGGAGGAAGUGCAAGGGCUCAAUCUACUAGGAAGUAACCCAAAAGCAACACUGCUUUGGGUAAUCUCAGACUUCAUCAGAUUUCAGGACAAUAAUUAUGAGUGUUAGAGAUAAAAUUAGCCUAUUCAGCAAAUCAUAUAGUUUAUUUCUUAGAGUUUCUUUACAUUGGACUAGGGUUACAUUAAUAAAACUAGGUAGAGGGAGUUCCCAUUGUGGAUCAUUGGGUUAAGGAUCUGGCAUUGCAGUAAGCUGCAGCAUUGGUCAUAGAUGUAGCUCUGACCCCGCGUUGCUGCGGCUGUGGUGUAGGCCCAUAGCUGCAGCUCCAAGUCUACCUCUGGCCUGGGAAAUUCCUUGUGCCUCAGGUAUGGCUGUAAAAAGAAAGAAAGAAAAAAAAAAACAGGUAGAAUUUGUCACAGAACCAGAAGGUAGAUCCAAAGAUAGUGCUCCUUUGUGAAAAAUAGAAUGCAAAAUUAUAAAUAUAAAAUUGGGAAAUUAAAUUCAGAGCCUUACAAGGGGGUACGCAAGUGAGGGACCAUGAAACUCAAGGUUCUGUGCUUGGUGGUAAAUUUGCCUCUCUCUCUCUAUACCUUUGGAAACUGUAGACAUUUUGUCUUUUUUUUUUUUUUUUUAACCACACCAGAAAUAGUCUUUCAUGAAUCCCAGAGUGUUGGGUACCAACCCCAACCCAAAUGUAUUUCAGUCUUUUAUGCCCCAGCUCCAUACAAUGUAACACGAGGGCGAGUUUAAUGUGACUUGCCCUGUGUUCUCCUUGUUAGACUUGUCCUUUUUACACAACGUCAUGGAUGGUGACAGCGCACAAGGCUGUCUUCUUAGCCCACUUUUGGGGGUGAUGAAAAUCAUGUAAUCUCUGAUGAGGUUGCUCUUAGAUCUUGUGAAACCAGAGAAGUAUCCAAAGAGGGUGUUUUAGAUAAGUUGCCAGAUUCCUGGGAGACAGUGCACAAUGGCUGUGGUGUGGAAGGGCCCUCCAAGGACCUGCUUAUAGGACACUGCUCAAGGGAAGAGGAUGGGACGAGUGGGGCUUGAACUAAAGUCAGCAAAGUUGUCAGGUCCUGAAGGGGCCAUGGGCUUGCCAACCUAAAACUGUUCUCACUUCUCUGUCCCUUUCUUUCUGGGUGAAGGUUAGAGUCUCCUCCAUGCAUAGAGAGGCUACCAGGGAUGAGGGGACAGCCAAGGAGGGCAAGGAGGGUACACGGGAAACCCUGGAAUGAGGGAUAGGGGACAAGGGCAGAAGGCUCAGAGAUAAGCCUCAGCACAGCUCAGAGACUUCAUUCCUUUGAGAAAUAAAGAAUAUUUUGAAACCCCUGAUCCAAAAAGAUGUGCCUCAAGAAAUGAAUUACCCUAAAUGCCAAGUCUGAUUAUAAUCGCAGUACGUGAUCCUCACAUCUUUGACAAAACUUAAUGAAAUGAAACCUUAAGCCCCCUUGGAAACAUGACUAUUUUAAUGAUCAGACAACUCUACGGUACCACGCGUGAGUUCCGGAAGACCUUUAAAAUAUUUCAUCUUGGCAGGUUCUUAAAAGAGAAACACAAAAGUGGCCAAUAUUACUCUCCAUCCAUUUAUAAGUUCAGAGAAAGUUUGGCAAUUAUUCCAGAUCACCACAUCCAUAGGCUUUAGCUGUCCUAGCAGCCUUGUUUACUUUUCUUCUACCAAUAAUUUGGGUGGUUUAAACAAAACAAGAGAAAAAAACAAUCUUCUAAAAGGAUGAGGAGUAAGAGUGAGCCAGUUCCUCAGCUGUCCAAAACACUGAAUUUGCUAAAGGACACCGAGAGCUCUUUCUAGACGUAAGAGAAAAAUAUCCUGACAGGUAUAUAAAAAAACCUUUCUCAGGAGGUAACCUGAGUUUGUGAUCACUCAACUUGUUUCAGUUUGAUUAUUUGUGAACAUUAUUUAAUUUUUAAUUUUCCUUUUGUCUCUCAUGGGCUUAGUGUAAUGUUAUCUACCUUGUAGCUGCUCCACACCUGCCUUUCAAGAAAUAAAAACAUUCCAGACAAAAGUUAAUUGUGUCAUCACAUCACCACCACUCUUCUUGAAUGGCUAGAAAGGAUAAAAUAGAAACUAACUACAGAUACGUUACUACACAGGAAGAGGACAAAAUUUUAUUUACUCUUCCUCUCACUCUUAGAAUAGACAUACCUAUUUUUCAUGGGGAGCACUUUAAACCAUUACAAAAUAUUAAACAGUAACUGUGCAUAAAGCAAAUGUGUCUAUAUGGUUAUAAUUCUUCUCAGCUCCACCACAAGGUUCAGGAUGUAAAUAUGCUGAGAGGAAAGAAGUAAUAAUAAAUAUUGCUUUCAAAACAGAAGAGAAAUAGGAAGAAAGAUCAAGCCAAAUAGAGGCUCAGGAAAGGGAAGAAAAUCUUACACCAACUUGGAAUGGAAAGUGAUGGGAUGCGUGGGGGAUCAUGGGGAUGGUGCCUCUGUCACGAGUGUUCACCUUAUGGAGCUUGUUACAGCCCGCAAUGAGAUCUGUAAACCCAGGAAAAGUACCUGGGUACACGUCAGACAGUAUGCUACAUGCUUUACAUACAUGCAGUCAGGAAGCACAUGCUUGGGGAGAUCGAAUAACUUGACUAAACAACAAAGCCAACACAACGAGUUAAGUUUCAGGCCAGUCUUUAAGCCCAAGCCUUUAUGUCCCUAAAGCUCAUCUAAUCACUACUGAUCCAAACUGUGUAUGUGCCAUUAGAAACACGGAACAAUAUUAAAAACAGUUCCAAGUCUAAAUCAAUUCCCAAAAAAGAAAAGCCGAACAAAUGGAAACCAAAUGUAAAAAAACUGACUCCUCUGGGAAAAAAAAAUCAUCUAUGUGAUUUUAACUAUGCUACAGUAUUUUGAUAAUAUUAUGGAUAGUGGGGUAACUUGCAUUUUUUCCAAGAGUAACUCUCAAUUUACGACUAAAACCUCUUUGGAAGUCCCCUGGUGGUCUGGUAGUUAGGACUUAAAUUUGUUGUGACCCAGAUUGAAUACCUGGCCUAAGACCUGAGAUUCCAUAUCAAGCUGCAGCCAAAAAU
This 5185-nucleotide long non-coding RNA is filed under the name Sus scrofa (pig). RNAcentral describes it as "lncRNA (ENSSSCG00050019757.1)". Lineage: Eukaryota; Metazoa; Chordata; Mammalia; Artiodactyla; Suidae. The record is from RNAcentral.